AGUGAACGCUGGCGGUAGGCCUAACACAUGCAAGUCGAACGGCAGCACAGUAAGAGCUUGCUCUUACGGGUGGCGAGUGGCGGACGGGUGAGGAAUACAUCGGAAUCUACUUUUUCGUGGGGGAUAACGGAGGGGAACUUACGCUAAUACCGCAUACGACCUACGGGUGAAAGCAGGGGAUCUUCGGACCUUGCGCGAUUGAAUGAGCCGAUGUCGGAUUAGCUAGUUGGCGGGGUAAAGGCCCACCAAGGCGACGAUCCGUAGCUGGUCUGAGAGGAUGAUCAGCCACACUGGAACUGAGACACGGUCCAGACUCCUACGGGAGGCAGCAGUGGGGAAUAUUGGACAAUGGGCGCAAGCCUGAUCCAGCCAUACCGCGUGGGUGAAGAAGGCCUUCGGGUUGUAAAGCCCUUUUGUUGGGAAAGAAAAGCAGCAGGUUAAUACCCCGCUGUUCUGACGGUACCCAAAGAAUAAGCACCGGCUAACUUCGUG
This 492-nucleotide ribosomal RNA is filed under the name uncultured bacterium. RNAcentral's name for it is "partial 16S ribosomal RNA". It matches the Rfam family "Bacterial small subunit ribosomal RNA", at positions 29 to 507 of the family's 1533-position model. The record is from RNAcentral.